RNAcentral lists this ribosomal RNA (486 nucleotides) under Cryptosporidium sp. rat genotype III. RNAcentral describes it as "SSU rRNA". It matches the Rfam family "Eukaryotic small subunit ribosomal RNA", at positions 369 to 874 of the family's 1831-position model. The record is from RNAcentral. Lineage: Eukaryota; Apicomplexa; Conoidasida; Eucoccidiorida; Cryptosporidiidae.
AUUAGGGUUCGAUUCCGGAGAGGGAGCCUGAGAAACGGCUACCACAUCUAAGGAAGGCAGCAGGCGCGCAAAUUACCCAAUCCUAAUACAGGGAGGUAGUGACAAGAAAUAACAAUACAGGACCUUUAAUGGUUUUGUAAUUGGAAUGAGUUAAGUAUAAACCCCUUUACAAGUAUCAAUUGGAGGGCAAGUCUGGUGCCAGCAGCCGCGGUAAUUCCAACUCCAAUAGCGUAUAUUAAAGUUGUUGCAGUUAAAAAGCUCGUAGUUGGAUUUCUGUUAAUUACUUUAUAUAAUUUUACACUUUCGUGUAGUUAUAUAGUAUUAACAUAAUUCAUAUUACUAUAUUUUUUGUAGUAUAUGAAAUUUUACUUUGAGAAAAUUAGAGUGCUUAAAGCAGGCUUUUGCCUUGAAUACUUCAGCAUGGAAUAAUAAUUAAAGAUUUUUAUCUUUCUUUUAUUGGUUCUAAGAUAAAAAUAAUGAUUAAUA